This is a long non-coding RNA of Hippocampus zosterae (dwarf seahorse), 2365 nucleotides long. RefSeq lists it as uncharacterized. Lineage: Eukaryota; Metazoa; Chordata; Actinopteri; Syngnathiformes; Syngnathidae. The transcript has 2 exons. The record is from RefSeq and is a predicted model, not a curated record.
UCAGCUUACAACUAUCAAGCUAGAUCAUUAACAGUUAUCAUGACAUCAUGAAAGAUCCUGCGGAAGGCACUUCAAUGAAAAAAAAUCAAUACAGAAUUCAUGUAAAGAAGACGGCGGCCCGGAACCUUCGCAGCCGUCUCCUUUUUCCAUCCUUGAGUCGAGUCGUGCAAGUGCUGAUUUUCUGAUGCUAUGUCAGCCUUUGAGUUUUCCUUCACCUUCAGCGACCUGUGCGGUGAUGUCGGUGCGGCUAUUGAGCGCACGCUACGAUAGUGCGCGUGAAAACCUUGAACCGCGCUGACUUGUACCACCUUUUCUCAUGUAUCGAUCCCACGUCUGCUGGCUAAUUAAGACGCGGCCGCUAGCGGAUGCCCGCGCAGUCAGAGCCGCACAUGUACAAAAGUGCGGGGCUAGUCGGCGGGGGGUGGGGGGGCCUGGGAACCGCGGAAGCGGCUAAUCCAUAAGCUGCUAAUGCGCGAUUGCGCUCAUCCCCUCCGUGUCAUUCCCAACAUUGUCUUGUUUUAUUCCGUGUCACCUUUGACCUCCUGUUUUUUGUUUUUUUUUCCCUCCGUCCUCAACCCUGACCCAUCUUAUUAAUGUGACAUUACAAAGAAAACAACAGCUGUUCACUGUAAGCCGUCGCGGUUUGACUUGUACCUCAAGGGCAGCUCACAAACACGCUUCAACUGGAGUUUUAUUUUAACCCUCAACCAUUGGAGGGUCUCAUGGUCGUUUUAUUUUCAUCUUAAUUUUCAACACCGCCUGCCCGAGUUGAGUAGAUUUGCACAGGUUUGGUCAUGUGACCUCUGCAAAAUAUUUUCACGCACAUACCUGGGGUCAAAAGUUUGCAACUUGGAGAUAAAUCACAGCUUUUGCAAUGCACAAAUGAGCACCGUGUCGUUGGGCAAACGUUCAGCUGGAGUGACUCUGUAAUUGCCUUCCACCGGGCUCCUUUCUUGUCACGCGGAACACAAAGUCAAACUGAUUCUCUUCGUGUUGUUUGUGUCUUGGCAACAAUGCUAUCCCUGUUUGCAGCCAUGUUGCGAGUGCGGGCCAUGCAUGUCAGCGAGGCCGCGCUUUGAGCUAAGGAAGCCCCCCCGUCCCCCCAAAUCCUUUAAAUCUAUUAAGUGGCCAGCUCUAUUUUAGCCCGGGCAAUUUCAUCUUUUUUAUAACUUGUACAGACUUUUGGCAGCUUUUGUGGUUUGGCAAGUCCAUGUUUGCAUACAUGCAUUAAAAAAAAAAAAAAAGUUAAAAUGGGGGGGCCUGAGACCACAAAACAGUGAGUUGACAGUGAUUGAAAACGAUGACCAUGGGCGGGUUUCUGCGGCUCCACCAAAGGCUGAAGCGAAAUCGAAUUACUCGCGUAUGCUGAGCAAAUGAUGACACACUUACGUUUGGAAGGCAAGCUAAGGGAGAGAGAGUGCCAGUGAGUUGAAGUUCCGGCGUGUUCAAUCAUUAAACCAUAAGGCCUCUCAUUAUUGAACAGGACCAGGCCCGGACGUGCACAUUUUCACCGCCUGCGCGUUUUUUGCUGACGACGUCUCUCUGAGGAUUGGUCACAUUAGCGCAAUCAUUUCUACCCAAAUGGAGAUUUAAAAUGGCAAAGUCUCCAGGGCUCUGUCGUUUUACACCAAAUAUGAAAUGAUAAAAACCUGCCAAGGAGCCUCUCGCAUUGGAAGAUAUGUCUCUCUAUAUCUCAAUUAAUAUCGAACAUCUCCAAGCAGCAUUGAGAAGAAAUGGGAGGUAAAAUUCUGUUGGGUGACCAGCAGGGGCGCUAUUGGUCCGCUUUACAACUACAGCAGGCUGUUUAGGCUGACUAAAAAAGUAAUGGAGCGCGAAUUAUUCUGCUCAUCAUCCAAUUCAUCUGCUUUCUAAAUCUCCACGCCUGUCCAGAGUUGUGCGAUAUCGGAACUGGUGGGUUACUACGGAGGAUUUUACCGUUUUAUGUAGAUCUAGAGGAUCCCAAAUACUGUAGAUGCCGCCCAAACGUUUUAUCCUUCGAUCGCGUUUCGAAAGGCUUCUUUGAAGAGCCGUGCGAGCGCUUCUGUCCGAAAGUUCAUUUAAUAUGAAGUGAAAAGCCCUUGUCUUUCUUCUAUGGCGGAGAGAUUGAUAUAUUUAAGCCGUGACUGAGUAAAGCAGCCUCCCUUGGCUUGCGGCCUCAACCUAUUCCCUCUCAAGCUGGCCACGGUCACAAGCUGUAAUGCGCCUCCGUGCUGUAUAAAUGCAUAGUGAAGGCCUCCGGAAGAAACCUUCCAAGACGCCUCACAUGUUCUGACAAGUGAUAGAUCUGACACAGGCAGGUGAGAGGUGGAGAGGAAAGAUCAAGGCGGCCGAGGAGAAACUUUGGCCUCGCUGAAAGUUUUGAGAG